RNAcentral lists this ribosomal RNA (387 nucleotides) under Phycisphaerales bacterium. RNAcentral describes it as "bacterial SSU rRNA". It matches the Rfam family "Bacterial small subunit ribosomal RNA", at positions 1 to 403 of the family's 1533-position model. The record is from RNAcentral. Lineage: Bacteria; Pseudomonadati; Planctomycetota; Phycisphaerae; Phycisphaerales.
CAACUGAAGAGUUUGAUCCUGGCUCAGCGCGAACGCUGGCGGCAUGGCUAAAACAUGCAAGUCGAACGCGAAAGCCCCUUCGGGGGCAAGUAGAGUGGCGAAAGGGCGAGGAAUGCGUUCCUACGUACCCCCAGGUCAGGGACAGUCCAGGGAAACUUGGCUUAAUACCUGAUGUGGUCUCCGGAUCAAAGGCUUCGGCCGCCCGGGGAGCGGGGAACGUCCUAUCAGGUUGUUGGUGAGGUAACGGCUCACCAAGCCAAAGACGGGUAGCGGGUGUGAGAGCAUGACCCGCCGCAUCGGGACUGAGACACUGCCCGGACUCCUACGGGAGGCUGCAGUAACGAAUCUUCCGCAAUGCGCGAAAGCGUGACGGAGCAAUGCCGCGUG